RNAcentral lists this ribosomal RNA (481 nucleotides) under uncultured bacterium. RNAcentral's name for it is "partial 16S ribosomal RNA". It matches the Rfam family "Bacterial small subunit ribosomal RNA", at positions 26 to 506 of the family's 1533-position model. The record is from RNAcentral.
GGGGGGGGGGGGGGGGGGGCGGGGCGCGGGCAGGGCGAGCGGGAGCGGGGGGCAGGGUGCGGAGGAGUGGGGGAGGGGUGCGUAGUGGAGGGGAACGUGGCCGGUCGUGGGGGAUAGCUACUCGAAAGAGUAGCUAAUACCGCAUACGAUCUAUGGAUGAAAGCGGGGGACCGCAAGGCCUCGCGCGAUUGGAGCGGCCGAUGUCAGAUGAGGUCGUUGGUGGGGUAAAGGCGCACCAAGCCAACGCUCGGCAGCUGGUCUGAGAGGGCGACCAGCCACACUGGGACUGGGACACGGCCCAGACUCCUACGGGGGGCAGCAGUGGGGAAAUUUGGACAAUGGGCGCAAGCCUGAUCCAGCAAUGCCGGGUGGAGGAAGAAGGCCUUCGGGUUGUAAACUGCUUUUGUACGGAACGAAACGGCUCUGGUUAAUACCCGGGGCUAAUGACGGGACCGUAAGAAUAAGCACCGGCUAACUACGG